AUCUACUAUACAUUUUUGCAGCAGUUUUUGGGGUCCCCAAUCGGGUCGGAUUUUUUGAUUUUGACCCGGAAACAAGUCUCUCGGAUCUUACCUUAAUUAUGAUUUUGACCCGAAAUCUCUCAAUCGAAUCCUACCAUAUUUGAUGCUCCCUACAUUCAAGGCAAAAAGCAUUUAGUUUCUCAUAAUUGAAAGAUAUGGAGAAUAUAUAUAGUUAUAACAAAUUGAUCCAAAUCGUUUCCUAAAUAGGUGCUAAUGAAUUAAGUGC
This 265-nucleotide long non-coding RNA is filed under the name Arabidopsis lyrata. Its description in RNAcentral is "long non-coding RNA (ALYR_LNC002026)". The record is from RNAcentral. Lineage: Eukaryota; Viridiplantae; Streptophyta; Magnoliopsida; Brassicales; Brassicaceae.